CAACGCCACGCGCCGGAGGGCGUUGCCGGCCGGCGGUUUCCCCGCCGUGCCGGAGGACGUUGCCUCCACUGCCGCUCAUGGUCCGCGCACGCCGAAGGGCUGCAUGGCCGCGUCGUGGUUGGUUGCUCCGUGGGAGCCGCCCUGAGGCCGAGGGCCUCGGAUGAUGUCCGUGUGACGCGCGCGUCGCUCUGCGCGGAGGAUUCAGGCCGAUGGAGGGCACCGCCGCGCCACCGGGGUGCGUCGGGCGUAGUGGGUGUGCCUCCACCGACAGCGUUCGUAUCUGUUUUCUUCUGUUCUUGGAAUAAAAUCAAACUGAAUCACCUUGUUUGACACCGAUUUCUCUUUCUCGAGGCCAGCGAUGUGUAUGGCGGCCCUUAUUGAAGGUCCCCGGAGUUGCUUGAUGCCGAUGGGUAGUGCAGAAGCGAGCGCGGCGCGUGAGUGUGGCCUCGCCGGGCGCAAGAAUGGCGCUGAGGGCCGUCGGGCGCUCCGUGGUGUGCCACGGAUGCAAUAUGAGAACUCCGUCGCCGGACGAGCGUCGCGCGUCGGCCGUUUUGCCUCCAGAUGCGGGAGAAGAGCCCUUGGCGCCUCGCCGCUGUUACGCCGCCUCCCCGUCGCUUUCUUCUCGCUUCCUGUGGCCAAAUCGCUCUCGGUUACGAGCGUGCUGAUAACGUGUUGAAUGUAAAAGUGAUUGAAUGAAGGAAAAGCUACUGAUUU
Long non-coding RNA from Triticum aestivum (bread wheat), 714 nucleotides. RefSeq lists it as uncharacterized. The record is from RefSeq and is a predicted model, not a curated record. The transcript has 2 exons. Lineage: Eukaryota; Viridiplantae; Streptophyta; Magnoliopsida; Poales; Poaceae.